Molecule: ribosomal RNA, 405 nt
Filed under: uncultured bacterium
Lineage: Bacteria
Description: bacterial SSU rRNA
Rfam family: Bacterial small subunit ribosomal RNA
Source: RNAcentral
GGGGAAUAUUGGACAAUGGGGGCAAGCCUGAUGCAGCAACGCCGCGUGAGGGAUGACGGCCUUCGGGUUGUAAACCUCUUUUAGCAGGGAAGAAGCGUAAGUGACGGUACCUGCAGAAAAAGCACCGGCUAACUACGUGCCAGCAGCCGCGGUAAUACGUAGGGUGCAAGCGUUGUCCGGAAUUAUUGGGCGUAAAGAGCUCGUAGGCGGCUUGUCGCGUCUGCUGUGAAAACCCGGAGCUCAACUCCGGGCCUGCAGUGGGUACGGGCAGGCUAGAGUGCGGUAGGGGAGAUUGGAAUUCCUGGUGUAGCGGUGGAAUGCGCAGAUAUCAGGAGGAACACCGAUGGCGAAGGCAGAUCUCUGGGCCGCUACUGACGCUGAGGAGCGAAAGCAUGGGGAGCGAAC